CGAAAGCCUGACGGAGCAAUACCGCGUGAGGGAGGAAGGCUCUUGGGUUGUAAACCUCUUUUAUCAGGGAAGAACCAAAUGACGGUACCUGAAGAAUCAGCAUCGGCUAACUCCGUGCCAGCAGCCGCGGUAAUACGGAGGAUGCAAGCGUUAUCCGGAAUUAUUGGGCGUAAAGCGUCCGCAGGUGGCUCAUCAAGUCUGCUGUCAAAGGCAGGGGCUUAACCCCUGAAAGGCAGUGGAAACUGGAGAGCUAGAGUGCAGUAGGGGUAGAGGGAAUUCCCGGUGUAGCGGUGAAAUGCGUAGAGAUCGGGAAGAACAUCGGUGGCGAAAGCGCUCUGCUGGACUGCAACUGACACUAAAGGACGAAAGCUAGGGGAGCG
RNAcentral lists this ribosomal RNA (380 nucleotides) under uncultured cyanobacterium. RNAcentral describes it as "bacterial SSU rRNA". It matches the Rfam family "Bacterial small subunit ribosomal RNA", at positions 376 to 770 of the family's 1533-position model. Lineage: Bacteria; Bacillati; Cyanobacteriota. The record is from RNAcentral.